This 229-nucleotide non-coding RNA is filed under the name Bacillota bacterium. RNAcentral's name for it is "Firmicutes bacterium T-box sequence". It matches the Rfam family "T-box leader". From Rfam's summary of the family: Uncharged tRNA acts as the effector for transcription antitermination of genes in the T-box leader family. Lineage: Bacteria; Bacillati; Bacillota. The record is from RNAcentral.
AAAAAUGUAAUGCAGGAGCGAGUAAGUGUUAGUGUGCUUUAAACAGGAAGAGCCAUAUUGACUGAGAGUGGCUUUAAGACCUAAUACCGAAGUUCCCUCCGAAGACUACUAUCCGGAAAACAGUACGGAUAGUCGGCCCUAUGCCGUUAUUGAUAAUGAAGUGGUAAACAAGAGUGUUUGUUUUUCUAUGUUUACAAUUAGGGUGGUAACGCGAACCUUCGUCCCUUUU